AAGUAUUCAAGGACUCUACGAAGACACU
RNAcentral lists this non-coding RNA (28 nucleotides) under Bombyx mori (domestic silkworm). The record is from RNAcentral. Lineage: Eukaryota; Metazoa; Arthropoda; Insecta; Lepidoptera; Bombycidae.